Molecule: ribosomal RNA, 253 nt
Filed under: uncultured bacterium
Lineage: Bacteria
Description: partial 16S ribosomal RNA
Rfam family: Bacterial small subunit ribosomal RNA
Source: RNAcentral
UACGAAGGGAGCAAGCGUUAUUCGGAAUCACUGGGCGUAAAGGGCGUGUAGGCGGUCGAUUAAGUCAGUUGUAAAAUUCCUCAGCCUAACUGAGGCAUCGCAAUUGAAACUGAUUGGCUAGAGUACAGAAGAGAGAAGUGGAAUUAUCGGAGUAGCGGUAAAAUGCGUAGAUCUCGAUAGGAACACCGAUGGCGAAGGCAGCUUCUUGGUCUGUAACUGACGCUGAGACGCGAAAGCGUGGGGAGCAAACAGG